This is a long non-coding RNA of Triticum dicoccoides, 1586 nucleotides long. RefSeq lists it as uncharacterized. Lineage: Eukaryota; Viridiplantae; Streptophyta; Magnoliopsida; Poales; Poaceae. The transcript has 8 exons. The record is from RefSeq and is a predicted model, not a curated record.
CGAGGAACAUGUGACCUCCAUGGUGUUCACUGCUAGACGGUGUGGCAAGGAGGGGUACCUUCUGCGGCGAUCUUUCUUGGGGAACCCUGGGCAACCGUCAUUCAGGUCUCCUACUAAAGAUCCUCCUCGCCACCACGAGUGCACGCCAUGUCUUCCACCCUGACAUUGGCCACUUAUGGAGGUUGAUUGAUUUGGUUGGUUCGAUAGGAUCCCAACCUGAGGAGAAUGAUGGUUUGGAGAUGGCUAGCAGCCUGUGGGGCAUCGACCAGACUGGCAGCGCUUCCAGGAAGGAGAGGCUUGGGGGCCUCGUGGAUUGGGAAGAUGGCGGCCACCCGGGUUUCUUCGAUCGAUCUGCGAUCUGGACAGGGCCAUGGCAACGCGGGCGUCGGGCGUAGGCGACCGACCCUCUGCAGCCACGCGUUGACAGUUACCUGUCGAGACUAUAAGAAGAAUUUUGAGGAAGAAUUUGAUCAAGAAGACCAAGAGAGAUGGUUUGCUUUGGAGAGGAAUUAGAUAAGGCCCAUGAGUCCUAAAGAUAAUACAAUCAAUCCAACUGUUAAUUUUGGUGUGCUUUUUGGACGGACUAAUAUGAAGACGCUGGCUAGCUCGCAUUGCCAUCAUAUAGUCUAGAAGCAAGGGCAAGGAUUAUAGGGAAAAUGAAGAUCAAAGAUAUCUCAGAAGCUAUCUCCCCGGAAGCUCCUGUAAACUGAAUAUCCACUGCUGCUGCUACUGAGCUGCGCUACUGAUGUGAUUGAUUGUGAAUUUGUCUUCAGGGUUGUAUCAGCAUGUUGAUAGGUGUAAUCAACAAUUUUCAGAAAACAAAAUCAAAUGCAGACUUGAGUAUUACCUGAGGGCGCACUGGAAAGGCUUCCAGAGCUAGGAGAAGAAACGGUUGAAGAAGAUAUGGUCUUAGGUGUUUCAUAGGCAUCAGGUGUAAGAGUGCACGAAUGACAGUUUGCCCUUUGAAACGACGUACGCCGUACAGAAGCUUGGAAUGCAUUCAGAGAUUUUUGUUGAAGUCUUGCUUCCUUUGAGCUUCCUGCAAACAAUCAACAAUGGUAGCCACACGAUUAAGAUUGCACUAGGCAAUUCUUAUCCUAUAUUGUACUGGGUUUUAUUCUUUAUAAAAAUUGUUCAGCCUAAAUUUUCUGCAAAUUUCCAUAUUGAACUUGGAACCAAGUAGUUGCAGUGCAACCUUCAGUGUUAGGCUGGUAGCUGGGGAAUUAAAUGAGAAGACAAUGAUAAUCCUACCAAAUGCUUUUCUCACUAUAUAUCACAGUGCUCCAGCUAAUCAUCCUAAAAGUUUUCCAAGACGUAUAGUGGUAACAUUAGACACUACCAACAUCAAACGUGGUGUAGAACUGAAAUUAGUAUGACAGAGAGAACUAAUAAAGGGGUGAAAGUUUCUUAUGACAGUAAUAUCGUCCGUUUUCGUCCGACCAGUUUCGUAAGUUGUCCUUGGUCAUCCGUAUAUGUUUCUGCUUGGUAAGUUAUGUGGGAUAAAAUUCGAAUUUCUGUUAUGGGCCACUGAAAAAUUGCCCCAUGUGCUAAUCUUUUGGACUUCUUUUGUAAUUAAUAGUCUCACC